UAGCAGCACAUAGAUAUUGGCG
This 22-nucleotide microRNA is filed under the name Alligator mississippiensis (American alligator). RNAcentral's name for it is "Ami-Mir-15-P2d_5p (mature (guide))". The record is from RNAcentral. Lineage: Eukaryota; Metazoa; Chordata; Crocodylia; Alligatoridae.